AUUGAACGCUGGCGGCAGGCCUAACACAUGCAAGUCGAGCGGGGUUUUCGGACCUAGCGGCGGACUGGUGAGUAAUGCGUAGGAAGCUGCCCGAUAGAGGGGGAUACCAGUUGGAAACGACUGUUAAUACCGCAUAAUGUCUACGGACCAAAGUGUGGGACCUUCGGGCCACAUGCUAUCGGAUGCGCCUACGUGGGAUU
Molecule: ribosomal RNA, 200 nt
Filed under: uncultured bacterium
Lineage: Bacteria
Description: partial 16S ribosomal RNA
Rfam family: Bacterial small subunit ribosomal RNA
Source: RNAcentral